GCCUGGUUAUCUCAGUUGGUAGAGCAUGAGACUCUUAAUCUCAGGGUCAUAGGUUCAAGCCCCACAUUAGCA
RNAcentral lists this transfer RNA (72 nucleotides) under Cricetulus griseus (Chinese hamster). It matches the Rfam family "tRNA". Rfam says of the family: Transfer RNA (tRNA) molecules are approximately 80 nucleotides in length. Their secondary structure includes four short double-helical elements and three loops (D, anti-codon, and T loops). Lineage: Eukaryota; Metazoa; Chordata; Mammalia; Rodentia; Cricetidae. The record is from Rfam by way of RNAcentral.